AUUCUUAAGGACCCAUACCAAGACCAGAUGAAAGAGGCUAGUACUGAUGCUAGCCAAAAAGAGAAUUUAGAAAAGGAGAUUAGUACUGAGACUAACCCGAUAGAAGAACCUGAGUCCAAAAUUGUUACCGAUCUAAGUGAUAAAGAGAAGAGAGCGGAUGAGUUACCCAAGAUAUAUUCAUCAAAAAUUUCAUUUCCUUCAUCCCCAGA
This 209-nucleotide long non-coding RNA is filed under the name Elaeis guineensis (African oil palm). RNAcentral describes it as "long non-coding RNA (EGUI_LNC072668)". The record is from RNAcentral. Lineage: Eukaryota; Viridiplantae; Streptophyta; Magnoliopsida; Arecales; Arecaceae.